Molecule: long non-coding RNA, 1240 nt
Filed under: Anser brachyrhynchus (Pink-footed goose)
Lineage: Eukaryota; Metazoa; Chordata; Aves; Anseriformes; Anatidae
Description: lncRNA (ENSABRG00000020472.1)
Source: RNAcentral
CAAAUUUGGGCCUUUGCAAAUAACUAAGAGCAGAUGUGUCAAAUGGUUUUUAUUUCCUAGAAUUAACACUAGAUACAUGAACACUGAAGGAAGCUGCCUGCAUGCCCCCGCUGGGGGAGUCUCCUUGACCCUCUCAUCCUUCUUCUUCACCAUUCUCAGAGCAGGUCCUGUUUUCAGUUGUGCUGGAAUAAAUUGGUUUGACUGGAGCUUCAGUAGGCAUUAACCGGCACACAGCAGAGCCGAGGAGGGCUGGCUCUUUUCAUACCAUUCGCUGUGUACAGGCAGAUAAUGACUUUGUCUCUUACUUACCCAUUUUGGUUUUAGCCUCAUGUCACAAGUCCCUUCUACAUAGAGGGCUCACCCUACAACAUAACAUGUCUCCUGAUUCCUGCUGUAGCAGAAAUGUUUUUUGAGAGCCCAUUUAUAACUCUGUUCACACAAAAUGUGACAGUUUUAGCUGUAUUGGAAGACCAGCCUGACCCUGGCAGCCGCUAGCACUGUGAUCGGAAUAGUUAUCAGACAUACCCCGGUUUGUGAUGUCUCAUUGUGAUGCUGUGGCCAUGGAGGAAUGUAUUUGUUCCUUCAAUAAUGCAAUGCACGCAGCACUGGCAGCAAUCAGCAGCAGCAGGCAGCCCCACAAAAGCAGACAGGUGGAGUAGGACUCGUCUUGAAGUCGGGCACGCAAGUCUGAGCUAGCCAUCCUGGACUCCCCUCACGGUCAAUGGGGAAAAACAGGUUCUUUCAAAGAGUGACUCAUAUCAUCCUAAAAUAGGUCAGAGGAGCAGCUCUCCAGCAGCCUCUGACUCCUCUCCACAGACUAUAAAGGGAACCCGAGGGAGACUAGCUCAGAUUUAGGCAACUUAUUUUUGCUUGUCUAACAGUCAUUGGUAUGAAUCUCAGCCGGGCUGUCCAAAGUUUCUUGGAGUCAGUGGGAGUCAUGUCAAAGGACUCGGCAUCCAACAUUUCAUGUUCUUGCUGCCUACUGACACCUUUGGAUUUGAGCCAAGCGUCUAUCUCAACAACAGGAAUUUUCUUCCAAACUGCCUAUCCACCCCAGCCAGCAUUUGGUACAAACCCAUGGCCACCCAGGAACACCUGGCCUGUGAUUACAUUCAACAACAUGACCACUUGCAGCUUGACAUUGCCUGGAGAAACAGAACUUGGAACCACUUAUCCUGAAAAGCAUGUGACACUCGAGCUAAAGCGUUACCACUGGUGGCUGCCAGAAGACGGCACAUGA